Molecule: non-coding RNA, 111 nt
Filed under: Eubacteriaceae bacterium CHKCI005
Lineage: Bacteria; Bacillati; Bacillota; Clostridia; Eubacteriales; Eubacteriaceae
Also listed under: 1 other name
Description: TPP riboswitch aptamer (THI element)
Rfam family: TPP riboswitch aptamer (THI element)
About the family: Vitamin B(1) in its active form thiamin pyrophosphate (TPP) is an essential coenzyme that is synthesised by coupling of pyrimidine and thiazole moieties in bacteria. The previously detected thiamin-regulatory element, thi box was extended, resulting in a new, highly conserved RNA secondary structure, the THI element, which is widely distributed in eubacteria and also occurs in some archaea. Analysis of operon structures identified a large number of new candidate thiamin-regulated genes, mostly transporters, in various prokaryotic organisms.
Source: Rfam by way of RNAcentral
AAGUCGAUUCCGGGGAACUGGUGCAAAGCCGGUUGAGAGGAAGCUGUUACCGCUUCGACCCGCCCACCUGACCCAGAUAAUACUGGCGUAGGGAGAACGAAGGAAAAGCUC